UGCCAGCCGCCGCGGUAAUACAGAGGUGGCAAGCGUUGUUCGGAUUUACUGGGCGUAAAGGGUGCGUAGGUGGCACCGUAUGUCGGACGUGAAAGCCCACGGCUCAACCGUGGAACUGCGUUCGAAACUACGGAGCUAGAGUAUUGGAGAGGUAGGCGGAAUUCUUGGUGGAGCGGUGAAAUGCAUAGAUAUCAAGAGGAACACCGGUGGCGGAGGCGGCCUACUGGACAAAUACUGACACUGAGGCACGAAAGCUAGGGGAGCAAAGAGGAUUAGAUA
Molecule: ribosomal RNA, 279 nt
Filed under: uncultured bacterium
Lineage: Bacteria
Description: partial 16S ribosomal RNA
Rfam family: Bacterial small subunit ribosomal RNA
Source: RNAcentral